CCUACGGGAGGCAGCAGUGAGGAAUAUUGGUCAAUGGUCGGGAGACUGAACCAGCCAAGCCGCGUGAGGGAGGAAGGUACAGAGUAUCGUAAACCUCUUUUGUCAGGGAACAAAGGCGGGGACGUGUCCCCGGAUGAGUGUACCUGAAGAAGAAGCAUCGGCUAACUCCGUGCCAGCAGCCGCGGUAAUACGGAGGAUGCGAGCGUUAUCCGGAUUUAUUGGGUUUAAAGGGUGCGCAGGCGGUCUGUUAAGUCAGCGGUCAAAGCCCGGGGCUCAACCCCGGCCCGCCGUUGAAACUGGCAGUCGCGAGUUGGAGAGAAGUAUGCGGAAUGCGCGGUGUAGCGGUGAAAUGCAUAGAUAUCGCGCAGAACUCCGAUUGCGAAGGCAGCAUGCCGGCUCCACACUGACGCUGAGGCACGAAAGCGUGGGUAUCGAACAGGAUUAGAUACCCGUGUAGUC
RNAcentral lists this ribosomal RNA (459 nucleotides) under uncultured bacterium. Its description in RNAcentral is "partial 16S ribosomal RNA". It matches the Rfam family "Bacterial small subunit ribosomal RNA", at positions 338 to 795 of the family's 1533-position model. The record is from RNAcentral.